RNAcentral lists this ribosomal RNA (487 nucleotides) under uncultured bacterium. Its description in RNAcentral is "bacterial SSU rRNA". It matches the Rfam family "Bacterial small subunit ribosomal RNA", at positions 501 to 987 of the family's 1533-position model. The record is from RNAcentral.
CUACGUGCCAGCAGCCGCGGUAAUACGUAGGGUGCGAGCGUUAAUCGGAAUUACUGGGCGUAAAGCGAGCGCAGACGGUUACUUAAGCAGGAUGUGAAAUCCCCGGGCUCAACCUGGGAACUGCGUUCUGAACUGGGUGACUAGAGUGUGUCAGAGGGAGGUAGAAUUCCACGUGUAGCAGUGAAAUGCGUAGAGAUGUGGAGGAAUACCGAUGGCGAAGGCAGCCUCCUGGGAUAACACUGACGUUCACGCUCGAAAGCGUGGGUAGCAAACAGGAUUAGAUACCCUGGUAGUCCACGCCCUAAACGAUGUCAAUUAGCUGUUGGGCAACUUGAUUGCUUAGUAGCGUAGCUAACGCGUGAAAUUGACCGCCUGGGGAGUACGGUCGCAAGAUUAAAACUCAAAGGAAUUGACGGGGACCCGCACAAGCGGUGGAUGAUGUGGAUUAAUUCGAUGCAACGCGAAGAACCUUACCUGGUCUUGACAU